GACGAACGCUGGCGGCGUGCUUAACACAUGCAAGUCGAACGGUCCUGUUUUUGAAGCGCUUCGGCGUGGAGGGAGCGGGUUAGUGGCGCACGGGUGAGUAAUGCGCGAGGACCUGCCCGCGGGAGGGGGACAGCAGUUGGAAACGGCUGGUGAUACCCCGUAAGCCGGGAGGUAAAAGGGCGGAGACGCCCGCCUGCGGAUGGACUCGCGUCCUAUCAGCUAGUUGGUGAGGCAACGGCUCACCAAGGCGACGACGGGUAGCCGGCCUGAGAGGGUGUCCGGCCACACUGGAACUGAGACACGGUCCAGACUCCUACGGGAGGCAGCAGUGGGGAAUUUUGGGCAAUGGGGGAGACCCUGACCCAGCGACGCCGCGUGAGGGACGAAGGCCCUUGGGUCGUAAACCUCUUUUGCAGGGGAAGAAGAAGAUGACGGUACCUUGCGAACAAGUCCCGGCUAAACUACGUG
Molecule: ribosomal RNA, 468 nt
Filed under: uncultured bacterium
Lineage: Bacteria
Description: bacterial SSU rRNA
Rfam family: Bacterial small subunit ribosomal RNA
Source: RNAcentral